Molecule: ribosomal RNA, 480 nt
Filed under: uncultured bacterium
Lineage: Bacteria
Description: partial 16S ribosomal RNA
Rfam family: Bacterial small subunit ribosomal RNA
Source: RNAcentral
GACGAACGCUGGCGGCGCGCUUAACACAUGCAAGUCGAGCGAUGAAACUUUAAAAGACCCUUUCGGGGCGAAGAUAAAGUGGAUGAGCGGCGGACGGGGGAGUAACACGUGAGUAACCUGCCUUAGACAUUGGGAUAGCAUCGGGAACCCGGGAUUAAUACCAAAUAAAAUCAUAAGGACACAUGUCAUAACGAUCAAAACUCCGAUGGUCUAAGAUGGACUCGCGUCUCAUUAGCUAGCUGGUAGAGUAAAAGCCUACCAAGGCGACGAUGGGUAGCCGGCCUCAGAGGGAGAGCGGCCACAUUGGAACUGGGAAGCGGUCCAAACUCCUACGGGAGGCAGCAGUGGGGAAUAUUGCACAAUGGAGGGAACGCAGAUGCAGCGACGCCGCGUGAACGAAGAAGGCGGUCGAGUCGUAAAGUUCGUUAAUAUGGGAAGAUAAUGACGUUACCAGAAGAAAAAGCCCCGGCUAACUACGUG